This 3310-nucleotide long non-coding RNA is filed under the name Homo sapiens (human). RNAcentral describes it as "non-protein coding LINC00910:25". The record is from RNAcentral. Lineage: Eukaryota; Metazoa; Chordata; Mammalia; Primates; Hominidae.
GAAAUGAAAGCCCGGAAACCCCGGAACUAGAACUGGUAUCUCUUCAACUACCUGUGAAAACUGAUGUGAUGAAAAGGGGAAUUUGAAGGAGCCAUUCCAGAAGACAGGGCGAAAACUGAAGUGCAAUCAGGGCCAAGAAAAACAGAAAUAGCAGGACCUGGAGUUGCAUAGGUUGAAUAGUUGAAUAGGCUGCUCUCCUCAGCUGGCAGGAAACCUGGCAGCCUCCUGGUGCCCAAGGACUGAAAACCUUAGAAGCACCUGGAGUUGGCAGCCUUGGCAUGGUCAGGUUGGCACCUCUGGAGGUGCCCAGGCUUCCCUGGCAGCAUUGUGAGCAGUGGAUGGUGUUGAAGGGCAGCCAGAGGAGGAAUGGAACACAUGCUCCUUGCUAACCACACGGACAAGGCCACGUUCACAGGUACACAAAGGCAACGCAGUUGCUCAGGUGCUUCGGUAUCACAGCCAAGACCCCUUCGGGGGAAGCUAGUCGGAUACUGGGACCCACAUUCCAGACUACUGAGCCGCGGUCGCGCCCUCGGCUCCGUUUCUGCUCCCUCCACCCCACGAGGACGGGGGUGGAAGGCCACCUUCGAUGGGUGCAUCCUCCACGAUGACCUGCUAACAAAGGUGCAUGGAUUUCAGAGUCUGAUUGGCCUACAACAGCAUUUGGCUUGUGGAGACAGUGGUUCCCUGAUGAAAAACUGCCAUGAUUGCCCAGACCCCCCUUCUCCUGAACAUGAAUGCCUGUCCAUGGAAAUUCGAGUCUCUCUCUCUCACCCAGGCUGGAGUGCAGUGAUGCAAUCUCAACUCACUGCAACCUCUGCCUCCCAGGUUCAAGUGAUUCUUGUGCCUCAGCCUCUGGAGUAUCUAGGAUCACAGGUGCGUGCCACCAUGUCUGGCUAAUGUUUUGUAUUUAUAGUAGAGAUGGGUUUCGACAUAUUGGCCAGGCUGGUCUUGAUCUCCUGGCCUCAAAGUGAUCUACCCACCUGGGCCUCCCAAAUUGCUGGGAUUACAGUUGUGAGCCACCACACCCAGCCUGUCCCUGAAAUUCUAAUGAAAUGUGCGAUAAAGUUGUUUUGUUUUUCUUUUUGUUUUCCCUUCUUGGCAAAGCCUGGUGUUUCUAUUUUAGUGGAUUUGCCUGGCACUGAGGACUGCUAUGGUGGUCUUCAGAGGCUCCUGGUAUUGACUGCUUGUGAAACCGCUUUUGCAAAAUUAUGACUGAGACAGUGAAAGAGAUCUAACUUAACCGACCCAAUCUUGCUUCUAACCUCCAAAUUGUCCUUAUUCAUUCCUGAGCAUAGCCUGAACUAACUUUGGGAGAAGCUUAGUUUAUAUUUUAUUUUAUAGUUUAAAACAAAGAUGUUAACAGCCCUUUCCCAAGGCAGACUUCCUUCUUGCCUGGGGACUAGGUUGCCUUUGGAGGACUAACAUUAGCCACGAGAUUAGAAAUUAUGGGCUGGGCCUCGUGGCUCACCCCUGUAAUCCCAGCACUUUGGGAGGCCACGGCAGGUAGAUCACCUGAGGUCAGGAGUUCAAGACCAGCCUGGCCAACGUGGUGAAACCCCAUCUCUACUAAAGAAUACAAAAAUUAGCCGGUUAUGGUGGCACAUGCCUAUACUGCCAGCUACUUGGGAAGCUGAGGUGGGAGGAUCGCUUGAACCUGGGAGGCGGCGUGGAGGUUGCAGUGAGCCAGGAUCUUGCCACUGCACUCCAGCUUGGGCGACAGAGUGAGACUCUGUCUCAAAAAAAAAAAGUUUAGAAAUUAUGCUUUAGGAGUCAUGCAGCUGGAGGCUACAAGAUUCUGACCCUCCCUAAACUGCUCCUAAGAUCAGUGCUUGAGAUAUUUUGCAGACCCUGCACUUGAUGGAUCAGCUGGCACCACCCAGACUGAUUAACUGGCUCAUGUGAUCUUGUGGUCCCCACCCAGGAACUUAAUCAGCACAAGGAGACAGCUUCAACUCCCUAUGAUUUCAUCCCUGACCAAUCAGCACUCCUGGGCUCACUGGCUUCCCCCUACCCACCAAGUUGUCCUUAAAAAGUCUGCUCCCCAAAUGCUCGGGUAGACUGAUUUGGGUAAUAAUAAAACUCCGGUCUCCCACACAGCCAGCCCUGCGUGAAUUACUCUUUCUUUUUUGAGAUGGAGUUUCACUUUCGUUGCCCAGGCUGGAGUGCAAUGGCAGGAUCUUGGCUCACAGCAUCCUCCGCCUCUCAGGUUCAAGCGAUUCUCCUGCCUCAGCCUCCCCAAUAGCUGGGAUUAUAGGCACGUGCCACCACGCCCGGCUAAUUUUUGGUAUUUUUAGUACAGACAGGGUUUCACUGUGUUGGCCAGGUUGGUCUCAAACUCCUGACCUUAGGUGAUUCACCUGCCUUGGCCUCCCAAAGUGCUGGGAUUACAGGUGUGAGCCACUGCACCCAGCCAAAUUACUCUUUCUCUAUUGCAAUUCCCCUGUUCUGAUGAAUCAGCUCUGUUUAGGCAGCAGGCAAGGAGAACCCCCUGGGCAUUAUACUUGGACAGAGGUGACAUCCCCCAGGUAGUGAGUGCAAAGAACUAAUGCUGCAGCUGUCUUCCAUGUAUCUGCCACUCACUGUAGAAUGACCCUGAAGUUCUGCAUUUCUGCUCUGUGUGGGUCAGGCACAAGAAGCUUCAUCUCUUAUCCCGUGUCUGAUUCCUGAAACCUUGCUCAUUUUCCUGCUGUCCUCCCUAUUCCCAGCCUCCUUUCUUCUUUCGCUUUAUCCUCCACUAAGGACAUUGAUUGCUUUCCUUUCUCUGUUGGUUCUCCCCACCCCUCAUUCCAUUGUGCCUUGUACCCAUACUGCCCACUACCUCCCUUUAUUGCUGUCAUCUGUCCUGGUGGCCAGUCACACUCAUGCCAACACUUACUUAUUCCUUGAAGGUUUUAGCUCCUGGCUCACUUUCCAACAUAACUCCUGUCAUCAGUUGACACCCAGUUCCCCAGUUCCUUGACCUAGGCCUUACGUACCCCAGCCACUCACUUCCCUGGUCUAAGUCUAGAUCUUGUCAUUGCUGAUGCCAUAACGCCAUCCACCAUCCACUUCCAGGGUCACACUCUCCAAUCACCUUCUACCACCCCUCCCUCUGUUACUCUGUGGUACAUGUUACUCCACUUCCCCACUGCCCAUCCCCUUUCAUGUUUCUUUCCUCUUUAAUUCUUACACCUCUUUUUUUUUUUUUUUUUUUUUGAGAGAGUCUCAAUCUGUCACCCAGGCUGCAGUGCAGUGGCACAAUCCUCUCACUGCAACCUCCGCCUCUCAGAUUCAAGCGAUUCUCCUGCCUCAGCCUCCUGAGUAGCUG